RNAcentral lists this ribosomal RNA (539 nucleotides) under Lactobacillus crispatus. Its description in RNAcentral is "bacterial SSU rRNA". It matches the Rfam family "Bacterial small subunit ribosomal RNA", at positions 45 to 551 of the family's 1533-position model. Lineage: Bacteria; Bacillati; Bacillota; Bacilli; Lactobacillales; Lactobacillaceae. The record is from RNAcentral.
UGCCUAAUACAUGCAAGUCGAGCGAGCGGAACUAACAGAUUUACUUCGGUAAUGACGUUAGGAAAGCGAGCGGCGGAUGGGUGAGUAACACGUGGGGAACCUGCCCCAUAGUCUGGGAUACCACUUGGAAACAGGUGCUAAUACCGGAUAAGAAAGCAGAUCGCAUGAUCAGCUUUUAAAAGGCGGCGUAAGCUGUCGCUAUGGGAUGGCCCCGCGGUGCAUUAGCUAGUUGGUAAGGUAAAGGCUUACCAAGGCGAUGAUGCAUAGCCGAGUUGAGAGACUGAUCGGCCACAUUGGGACUGAGACACGGCCCAAACUCCUACGGGAGGCAGCAGUAGGGAAUCUUCCACAAUGGACGCAAGUCUGAUGGAGCAACGCCGCGUGAGCGAAGAAGGUUUUCGGAUCGUAAAGCUCUGUUGUUGGUGAAGAAGGAUAGAGGUAGUAACUGGCCUUUAUUUGACGGUAAUCAACCAGAAAGUCACGGCUAACUACGUGCCAGCAGCCGCGGUAAUACGUAGGUGGCAAGCGUUGUCCGGAUU